GAUGAACGCUAGCGGGAGGCCUAACACAUGCAAGCCGAGCGGUAUUGUUUCUUCGGAACUGCUCGAGCGGCGUACGCGUGCGUAACACUUGUGCAACCUGCCUUUAUCUGUGGGAUAGCCUUUCGAAAGGAAGAUUAAUACUCCUUCAUAUAUUUAACGGCAUCGGUUUAUAUUGAAAGCUCCGGCGGAUAUAGAUGGGGACGCGCAAGAUUACCUCGUGGGUGAGGUAACUGCACACCAAGGCGAUGAUCUUUAGGGGGCCUGAGAGGGUGAUCCCCCACACUGGUACUGAGAUACGGACCAGAAUCGGACGGGAGGCAGCGGUGAGGAACAUUGGGCAAUGGGUGCAAGCCGGAACCAGCCACCCCGCGUGAAGGAGGACUGCCAUAUGGGUUGUAAACUUCUUUGGUAUAGGGAUAAACCUACCCUCGAGAGGGUAGCUGAAGGUACUAAACGAAUAAGCACCGGCUAACUCCGUG
Molecule: ribosomal RNA, 479 nt
Filed under: uncultured bacterium
Lineage: Bacteria
Description: partial 16S ribosomal RNA
Rfam family: Bacterial small subunit ribosomal RNA
Source: RNAcentral